This 982-nucleotide ribosomal RNA is filed under the name Pseudomonas aeruginosa. RNAcentral's name for it is "partial 23S ribosomal RNA". It matches the Rfam family "Bacterial large subunit ribosomal RNA", at positions 1 to 1000 of the family's 2925-position model. Lineage: Bacteria; Pseudomonadati; Pseudomonadota; Gammaproteobacteria; Pseudomonadales; Pseudomonadaceae. The record is from RNAcentral.
GAUUAAGUAGUAAAGGGCGCACGGAGGAUGCCUUGGCACUAGGAGCCGAAGAAGGACGUGACAAACGACGAAAUGCUACGGGGAGCUGUAAGUAAGCAAAGAGCCGUAGAUAUCCGAAUGGGGGAACCCACCGCUUUUAAAAGGGCGGUACGCGAAAGCGAGGUAACGCAGGGAACUGAAACAUCUAAGUACCUGUAGGAAGAGAAAGAAAAAUCGAUUUCCUUAGUAGCGGCGAGCGAAAAGGAAGGAGCCCAAACCAAUGUGCUUGCAUAUUGGGGUUGUAGGACUCUCAACAAAGUGUAUGACAAAGUAUAGUAGAACUAGCUGGAAAGUUAGACCGUAGAAGGUAAAAGUCCUGUAUACGAAAUGCUAAGUUGGCGCGAGAGAGCACCUGAGUACGGCGGAACACGAGGAAUUCCGUCGGAAUCUACCAGGACCAUCUGGUAAGGCUAAAUACUACCUAGUGACCGAUAGUGAACCAGUACCGUGAGGGAAAGGUGAAAAGAACCCCGGGAGGGGAGUGAAAGAGAACCUGAAACCGUGUGCUUACAAGUAGUCAGAGCCCUUUAGGGGGUGAUGGCGUGCCUUUUGUAGAAUGAACCGGCGAGUUACUUUAUCAUGCGAGGUUAAGUGGAAGACAUGGAGCCGCAGCGAAAGCGAGUCUUAAUAGGGCGAAAUAGUAUGAUGGAGUAGACCCGAAACCAAGUGAUCUACCCAUGGCCAGGUUGAAGUUUAGGUAACACUGAAUGGAGGACCGAACCAGGACACGUUGAAAAGUGUUUGGAUGAGCUGUGGGUAGCGGAGAAAUUCCAAUCGAACUUGGAAAUAGCUGGUUCUCUCCGAAAUAGCUUUAGGGCUAGCCUCGUUGUGAGUUUACUGGAGGUAGAGCACUGUUUGGACUAGGGGCCCAUCCCGGGUUACCGAAUUCAGACAAACUCCGAAUGCCAGAUAAAUAUCAACGGGAGUCAGGCUGCGGGUGAUA